UACGUAGGUGGCAAGCGUUGUCCGGAUUUACUGGGUGUAAAGGGCGUGCAGCCGGGCUGACAAGUCAGACGUGAAAUCCCGCGGCUCAACCGCGGAACUGCAUUUGAAACUGUUAGUCUUGAGUACCGGAGAGGUCAUCGGAAUUCCUUGUGUAGCGGUGAAAUGCGUAGAUAUAAGGAAGAACACCAGUGGCGAAGGCGGAUGACUGGACGGCAACUGACGGUGAGGCGCGAAAGCGUGGGGAGCAAACAGG
This 253-nucleotide ribosomal RNA is filed under the name uncultured bacterium. Its description in RNAcentral is "partial 16S ribosomal RNA". It matches the Rfam family "Bacterial small subunit ribosomal RNA", at positions 524 to 776 of the family's 1533-position model. The record is from RNAcentral.